UGGGGAAUUUUGGACAAUGGACGCAAGUCUGAUCCAGCCAUGCCGCGUGCGGGAAGAAGGCCUUCGGGUUGUAAACCGCUUUUGUCAGGGAAGAAACGAGUUUCUCUAAUACAGAGACUUAAUGACGGUACCUGAAGAAUAAGCACCGGCUAACUACGUGCCAGCAGCCGCGGUAAUACGUAGGGUGCGAGCGUUAAUCGGAAUUACUGGGCGUAAAGCGUGCGCAGGCGGUUAUAUAAGACAGAUGUGAAAUCCCCGGGCUCAGCCUGGGAACUGCAUUUGUGACUGUAUAGCUAGAGUACGGCAGAGGGGGAUGGAAUUCCGCGUGUAGCAGUGAAAUGCGUAGAUAUGCGGAGGAACACCGAUGGCGAAGGCAAUCCCCUGGGCCUGUACUGACGCUCAUGCACGAAAGCGUGGGGAGCAAACA
RNAcentral lists this ribosomal RNA (427 nucleotides) under uncultured bacterium. RNAcentral's name for it is "bacterial SSU rRNA". It matches the Rfam family "Bacterial small subunit ribosomal RNA", at positions 355 to 774 of the family's 1533-position model. The record is from RNAcentral.